GCCACUGUGGUGGAAUUGGUAGACGCGAUGGACUCAAAAUCCAUUGGUAGCAAUACCGUGUCGGUUCGAGUCCGACCAGUGGCACCA
This 87-nucleotide transfer RNA is filed under the name Acholeplasmataceae bacterium. RNAcentral describes it as "tRNA-Leu". It matches the Rfam family "tRNA". From Rfam's summary of the family: Transfer RNA (tRNA) molecules are approximately 80 nucleotides in length. Their secondary structure includes four short double-helical elements and three loops (D, anti-codon, and T loops). RNAcentral also lists the same sequence under 1 other name. The record is from RNAcentral. Lineage: Bacteria; Bacillati; Mycoplasmatota; Mollicutes; Acholeplasmatales; Acholeplasmataceae.